RNAcentral lists this ribosomal RNA (409 nucleotides) under Epilithonimonas hispanica. RNAcentral's name for it is "bacterial LSU rRNA". It matches the Rfam family "Bacterial large subunit ribosomal RNA", at positions 1925 to 2344 of the family's 2925-position model. The record is from RNAcentral. Lineage: Bacteria; Pseudomonadati; Bacteroidota; Flavobacteriia; Flavobacteriales; Weeksellaceae.
AAACGGCGGCCGUAACUAUAACGGUCCUAAGGUAGCGAAAUUCCUUGUCGGGUAAGUUCCGACCUGCACGAAUGGUGUAACGAUCUGGGCACUGUCUCAACCAUGAGCUCUGUGAAAUUGUAGUAUCGGUGAAGAUGCCGAUUACCCGCAAUGGGACGAAAAGACCCUGUGAACCUUUACUAUAACUUCGUAUUGACUUUGAGUAAGUAAUGUGUAGGAUAGGUGGGAGACUAUGAAGCAGGCACGCUAGUGUUUGUGGAGUCAACGUUGAAAUACCACCCUUUACUUACUUGGAGCCUAACUUCUAAUAGAAGGACAUUGCGUGGUGGGUAGUUUGACUGGGGUGGUCGCCUCCAAAAGAGUAACGGAGGCUUUCAAAGGUACCCUCAGCACGCUUGGUAACCGUGCG